Molecule: transfer RNA, 24 nt
Filed under: Chelonoidis vandenburghi (Alcedo volcano giant tortoise)
Lineage: Eukaryota; Metazoa; Chordata; Testudines; Testudinidae
Description: partial tRNA-Phe
Source: RNAcentral
GGUAAUUAACAUAUCCCAAAAACA